CCUACGGGUGGCAGCAGUGAGGAAUAUUGGUCAAUGGACGAGAGUCUGAACCAGCCAAGUAGCGUGAAGGAUGACUGCCCUAUGGGUUGUAAACUUCUUUUAUAUGGGAAUAAAAUGUUCCACGUGUGGGAUUUUGUAUGUACCAUAUGAAUAAGGAUCGGCUAACUCCGUGCCAGCAGCCGCGGUAAUACGGAGGAUCCGAGCGUUAUCCGGAUUUAUUGGGUUUAAAGGGAGCGUAGGUGGAUUGUUAAGUCAGUUGUGAAAGUUUGCGGCUCAACCGUAAAAUUGCAGUUGAAACUGGCAGUCUUGAGUACAGUAGAGGCGGGCGGAAUUCGUGGUGUAGCGGUGAAAUGCUUAGAUAUCACGAAGAACUCCGAUUGCGAAGGCAGUUCACUGGACUGCAACUGACACUGAGGCUCGAAAGUGUGGGUAUCAAACAGGAGUAGAUACCCCUGUAGUC
This 460-nucleotide ribosomal RNA is filed under the name uncultured bacterium. Its description in RNAcentral is "partial 16S ribosomal RNA". It matches the Rfam family "Bacterial small subunit ribosomal RNA", at positions 338 to 795 of the family's 1533-position model. The record is from RNAcentral.